AUACGGAGGAUGCGAGCGUUAUCCGGAUUUAUUGGGUUUAAAGGGUGCGUAGGCGGGACUGUAAGUCAGGGGUGAAAUACUGCAGCUUAACUGUAGCAUUGCCUUUGAAACUGCCGUUCUUGAGUACAGUUGAGGUAGGCGGAAUGUGGUGUGUAGCGGUGAAAUGCAUAGAUAUACCACAGAACGCCGAUUGCGAAGGCAGCUUACUAAGCUGUUACUGACGCUGAGGCACGAAAGCGUGGGGAUCAAACAGGAUUAGAUACCCUGGUAGUCCACGCUGUAAACGAUGAUUACUGGUUGUUAGCGAUAUAUAGCUAGUGACUGAGCGAAAGCAUUAAGUAAUCCACCUGGGGAGUACGUCGGCAACGAUGAAACUCAAAUGAAUUGGCGGGG
Molecule: ribosomal RNA, 393 nt
Filed under: uncultured bacterium
Lineage: Bacteria
Description: partial 16S ribosomal RNA
Rfam family: Bacterial small subunit ribosomal RNA
Source: RNAcentral